Molecule: ribosomal RNA, 492 nt
Filed under: uncultured bacterium
Lineage: Bacteria
Description: partial 16S ribosomal RNA
Rfam family: Bacterial small subunit ribosomal RNA
Source: RNAcentral
GAUGAACGCUGGCGGCGUGCCUAACACAUGCAAGUCGAACGGAAACGCAGUAAGUUCUUGUUCUGACGGAGUGGCGAACGGGUGAGUAACACGUAGGUAACCUGCCCUAUAUUUUGGGAUAACUUCAGGAAACGAAAGCUACUACCGUAUCGCAUCCGAUCUUGCAUGGUAAGUGUUGGAAAGUCGCAACUGGUGCGCUUGCAGGAGCCGAUGUCGGGUUAGCUAGUGGGGGGGGUAAAGGCCCACCAGGGGGCGGAUACGCAGCUGGUCGGAGAGGAGGAUCGCCCACAUGGGAACUGGGACACGGCCAAGACCCCUCAGGGAGGCACCAGAGGGGAACAUUGGACAAUGGGGGCAAGCCUGACCCAGCGAGACGGCGUGGGUGAAAAAGGCGUCCGGUUGGAAAAGCCCGUUUUUUGGGAAAAAAAAGCAUCAGGUUGAUACGCAGCUGCUGUGACGGUAACCAAAGAAUAAGCACCGGCUAACUACGUG